Long non-coding RNA from Equus caballus (horse), 1380 nucleotides. RefSeq lists it as uncharacterized. NCBI's taxonomy places the organism in Eukaryota, Metazoa, Chordata, Mammalia, Perissodactyla, Equidae. The record is from RefSeq and is a predicted model, not a curated record.
AAAGGUUAGAAGACAUCAAGAGCUUCCUGGCAGCAUAAUUGACAGGGAUUUGUGGAGAAAAUCCAUGUAUAAACAUAACAGGCAGUCACUGUGUCCUGAGACAACGUGAGGAUGACAGAUUUGAAGAACAAAUGUUAAAGAGCUACGGUGUCAUUUAUGAUUACAUCUUAUGAGAAGAUAAUUACAAGUGGAACUGCUUUUUUAGGCUUGCAAAAGGAGAGGAUGCCAUGCUGCUCGGCAUGACCACGCUGUGCAGGAAUGGUCACUCCAGUCAGUCUUCUCCAAAGUCACCAGCCUAGUCGACUUGAGGAUCUUGAUCACUUGAAUGUCAUCUGAGUGUGGUGUCAUCUGUGACUUCUGAGCGUUUCAUGAGACACUGAUGUGUGCCGUUCUCCCCACCGAUGGUACUUCUGACAUGCCAGGUGGUGGUCAAGCCUUCCACUGAUGCCGUUAAGCCUCAAUUGUUUUACAUCCUGGAUUUGUAAAUGUUCAUUGCCCCCAUCUAGUAUGUUCAAACCCUAAUGCAAUGUCCACGUGGAGACAGGUGUCCCCAGCACUGCCUCAAGUGUGGCCUCAUAUCACCAGGCUCAGCCUCGGCCAGAAGGGGAAGGGUCUGUGGGCUGAAUCCUCCUGGAAAAUACAUGCUUGAGCCUAUUACCAAAUACAGAAAGGACUACUGGGACAUUUGGUGGCUUGGCUGCAGAGAAGCCCAGCACCUGAGGGUGAUCUGUUCUCACCAGUGGAACUGAAGCAUUUCUGGGCCACCUAGAAGCUCAGGUGAAAAUGUCUAGCCUGCAUAUACACUAUGGUAUACAGUAUAUACAAAAAGAAGGGAAUAGCUUGAGUUCUUGGUACACUGAGGAGAAGUAUUCUCCUAGACCCCGGAAAAUCAGAGAGAAGACACACCUUUCUCAAAUGUUGGUGUUCCUCUGGGCGAUGUCCUCGCCUUCUGCUCAUCCCCAUCCACACACUGCCCUGGAAACCUCACCAUCCCUGGAGACUUUAUUAACAUCUGCAUGCUGAGAACUUUCGUACCUGUGUCUCUGGCCCAACCCACAUGCCUCGCUCCUCCUUGAGCUCCACAUACGGGUCUGUAAAUUCCUGCUGGAAGUCCAUCUUAACUGUCCUGCAUUACUCCAAACUCAGGAUGCUGUACCGAAUCCACAAUCUUCCCCCUAAUCUCUCUUACUUUCCUGGUGUUCUCCAUGUCAUAAAUGGUGAUCCAGCUGCUCAAACUGGAACGCUGGAGUUGUGCUGACUUUUCCCUCCCUCUUACCUCCCAGAGAGUUCCAAGGGUCCUGCUUGCCCCAACUCCCACUACCUCCGCUCUCCUGCAGGCACCGUCUGCACUCACUUGAAGAAGUGCAAUAACGCCUUCAA